Molecule: ribosomal RNA, 406 nt
Filed under: uncultured bacterium
Lineage: Bacteria
Description: partial 16S ribosomal RNA
Rfam family: Bacterial small subunit ribosomal RNA
Source: RNAcentral
GAUGAACGCUAGCUACAGGCUUAACACAUGCAAGUCGAGGGACCGGCGCACGGGUGAGUAACACGUAUCCAACCUGCCCUUUACUCGGGGAUAGCCUUUCGAAAGAAAGAUUAAUACCCGAUGUAAAGGAUGGGGAUGCGUUCCAUUAGGUUGUUGGGGAGGUAACGGAGCACCAGGCCUUCGAUGGAUAGGGGUUCGGAGUGGAAGGUCCCCCACAUUGUAACUGGGACACGGUCCAAACUCCGACGGGAGGCAGCAGUGAGGAAUAUUGGUCAAUGGGCGUUAGCCUGAACCAGCCAAGUAGCGUGAAGGAUGAAGGCUUAUGGGUCGUAAACUUCUUUUAUAUAAGAAUAUGUAUUAUAUGAAUAAGGAUCGGCUAACGCCGUGCCAGCCGCCGCGGUAAUUC